RNAcentral lists this ribosomal RNA (499 nucleotides) under uncultured bacterium. RNAcentral's name for it is "partial 16S ribosomal RNA". It matches the Rfam family "Bacterial small subunit ribosomal RNA", at positions 28 to 507 of the family's 1533-position model. The record is from RNAcentral.
GACGAACGCUGGCGGCGUGCCUAAUACAUGCAAGUCGAGCGGACCAAACAGGAGCUUGCUCUUGUUUGGUUAGCGGCGGACGGGUGAGUAACACGUGGGUAACCUGCCCGUAAGACCGGGAUAACUCCGGGAAACCGGAGCUAAUACCGGAUAACACCGAAGACCGCAUGGUCUUUGGUUGAAAGGCGGCUUCGGCUGCCACUUACGGAUGGGCCCGCGGCGCAUUAGCUAGUUGGUGAGGUAACGGCUCACCAAGGCGACGAUGCGUAGCCGGCCUGAGAGGGUGACCGGCCACACUGGGACCUAGACACGGCCCAGACUCCUACGGGAGGCAGCAGUAGGGAAUCUUCCGCAAUGGACGAAAGUCUGACGGAGCGACGCCGCGUGAGCGAAGAAGGUCUUCGGAUCGUAAAGCUCUGUUGUUAGGGAAGAAGAAGCGCCGUUCGAACAGGGCGGCGCGGUGACGGUACCUAACGAGAAAGCCCCGGCUAACUACGUG